UACAGAGGUCUCAAGCGUUGUUCGGAAUUACUGGGCGUAAAGGGUGCGCAGGCCGCGCGGGCAGUCAAAUGUGUAAUUCAGGGGCUCAACCCCUGGACUGCGAUUGAUACUUCCGUGCUAGAACCUUGGAGAGGAGUCUGGAAUUCUCGGUGUAGCAGUGAAAUGCGUGGAUAUCGAGAAGAACACUAAGGGCGUAAGCAAGACUCUGGACAAGUGUUGACGCUCAAGCACGAAGGCUAGGGUAGCGAACGGG
Molecule: ribosomal RNA, 253 nt
Filed under: uncultured bacterium
Lineage: Bacteria
Description: partial 16S ribosomal RNA
Rfam family: Bacterial small subunit ribosomal RNA
Source: RNAcentral